RNAcentral lists this ribosomal RNA (465 nucleotides) under uncultured bacterium. Its description in RNAcentral is "bacterial SSU rRNA". It matches the Rfam family "Bacterial small subunit ribosomal RNA", at positions 338 to 795 of the family's 1533-position model. The record is from RNAcentral.
CCUACGGGGGGCACCAGUGGGGAAUAUUGCACAAUGGGCGCAAGCCUGAUGCAGCCAUGCCGCGUGUAUGAAGAAGGCCUUAGGGUUGUAAAGUACUUUCAGUUGGGAGGAAGGCGUUGAUGCUAAUAUCAUCAACGAUUGACGUUACCAACAGAAGAAGCACCGGCUAACUCCGUGCCAGCAGCCGCGGUAAUACGGAGGGUGCAAGCGUUAAUCGGAAUUACUGGGCGUAAAGCGCACGCAGGCGGUUGAUUAAGUUAGAUGUGAAAUCCCCGGGCUUAGCCUGGGAAUGGCAUCUAAGGCUGGUCAGCUAGAGUCUUGUAGAGGGGGGUAGAAUUCCAUGUGUAGCGGUAAAAUGCGUAGAGAUGUGGAGGAAUACCGGAGGCGAAGGCGGCCCCCUGGACAAAGACUGACGCUCAGGUGCGAAAGCGUGGGGAGCAAACAGGAUUAGAUACCCCGGUAGUC